RNAcentral lists this ribosomal RNA (401 nucleotides) under uncultured bacterium. Its description in RNAcentral is "bacterial SSU rRNA". It matches the Rfam family "Bacterial small subunit ribosomal RNA", at positions 28 to 433 of the family's 1533-position model. The record is from RNAcentral.
GACGAACGCUGGCGGCGUGCUUAACACAUGCAAGUCGAGCGGUAAGGCCCUUUCGGGGGUACACGAGCGGCGAACGGGUGAGUAACACGUGGGUGACCUGCCCUCAGCUCUGGGAUAAGCCUGGGAAACUGGGUCUAAUACUGGAUAUGACUCCACGGUGCAUGUCGUGGGGUGGAAAGCCUUGUGCGGCUGAGGAUGGGCCCGCGGCCUAUCAGCUUGUUGGUGGGGUGANGGCCUACCAAGGCGACGACGGGUAGCCGGCCUGAGAGGGCGACCGGCCACACUGGGACUGAGACACGGCCCAGACUCCUACGGGAGGCAGCAGUGGGGAAUCUUGCGCAAUGGGCGAAAGCCUGACGCAGCGACGCCGCGUGAGGGAUGACGGCCUCGGUUGUAACUAC